GUAGCAAUAGGUCGGUGGUAGAGCCCCCGCUUCGCGUUCGGGGAGACCCGGGUUCAAUUCCCGGCUGCUUCC
Molecule: non-coding RNA, 72 nt
Organism: Toxocara canis (dog roundworm)
Lineage: Eukaryota; Metazoa; Nematoda; Chromadorea; Rhabditida; Toxocaridae
Source: Rfam